UACAACCUCACACACAUUGAGCCUAGCCCUGGGUGUUAGGAGCUCUCUUCCAUGUGGAGAGGGAGCUUCGUUGUGCCUGAAGAUCUCACUGCUGAGCGAGGGAGGUGGACAAAUCUGUAUAGAAACACAGCAUUCAACCAACUUUCCAAUGGAUGGCUGAUCUCCUGUCUGGCUUUCUCCGUCUUGAGAAUUACAUGAAUUUGUAGGACGUCUCUUCUUAAAGUCCUAGGAUCUCUCUUAGCUGGACCCAUCGCCCCCAGAAGCUGUGUUGAUUAGGGCAUUCUGAUCGAUGCGUAUUUAUUAUGGAAGAGUUGGACCAACAGAUAAACAAUGACUCAAACCACCAUCUCGUUGGCAUUGUGACUGAUGAUGAAAUCUGCCACCAGAGCAGAAUGCCAAGAGCCUCCUGCCAGAUGGUAAACAACUUGGGUAGAAGAGCCAUGUCUGCAGCCAGGCCCAGUCGGGAGCCACGGAUUGGGGAGGUGCCCCAGUUUGGACUUGGACUUGCAGCCCAGCUCCCUGCCUUGCUGGCUGUGCAGAAAUCCUUACUCAGACUGGUUGGAACAAUAAGGAUAUCCACCGACCCACAGAGCUGGAAGCUUCAGGACUGGCUUAAUCCAGUGGUCACUUAUUCUCCUGGCCAUGCCCACCUCCUGCACCAGUGUCAUCCUCAGGCUGAUAGUGAGGUGGCCGCAGCACCUGCAGACCUCAAUCCACGCACGACUGUGCCAGAGAUCGUCUCCUGCUGAGGCUGUCUCUAGAGUGACGACAAUAUUUGUAGAACCACAGAAAAUUUUCUCUUGCAUCUUUUUUAUUCAAAUUGAUGCUCAUUUCUGAACUAAUCCCGUGGCCAACGGAAUCCUCUGUAUUAAUUGGCUUUGGCCUGCGUUCUCCCACUGUAAAUUGGGAUACAAUUUGUAUGAUUAGCUCGGACUAAUAAGCCCUGCCCUUGCAGAUGGAGUGGACGUCGGGAAGUCAACAGCACAUGUGUGGUCUCGGACGAGUUAUUUAACUCUUCUGAGCAUCAACACUCUCGCUUAUAAAAUGGGAACAGUCAUGCAGAUUUUGCGGUGGAGAGGACUUGAGAUAAUUCAUGUGAAAUGACAAACACUGUGCUUGACACUUAGCAGGGCUCAACCAAUGAAUAAAUGUUUGAUAAACCCAUUAAUUAAUUAAUCAGUUUCCUGAGGGGGGCAAUGACAAAUAGAUUAUCAUGCCCUCAUCGCCCUCUGGCUGGACAUUUUAGGGCAAAUAAGAAAGUCC
Molecule: long non-coding RNA, 1263 nt
Filed under: Equus caballus (horse)
Lineage: Eukaryota; Metazoa; Chordata; Mammalia; Perissodactyla; Equidae
Description: lncRNA (ENSECAG00000043928.1)
Source: RNAcentral